Molecule: microRNA precursor, 201 nt
Organism: Oryza sativa Japonica Group (Japanese rice)
Lineage: Eukaryota; Viridiplantae; Streptophyta; Magnoliopsida; Poales; Poaceae
Rfam family: MIR812 microRNA precursor family
Source: Rfam
AAAAAGUCAAACCCUGUAUUUCCGUGUCCAACUUUGACUGUCCAUCUUAUAUGAAAUUUUUUUAUAAUUCGUAUUUUCAUUAUUGUUAGAUAAUAAAACAUGAUUAACAUUUUAUGCGUGACUUGUCUUUUUUUUUCAUAAUUUUUUUAAAUAAGACGGACGGUCAAAUGUUGGGCACGGAAACUAAGGUUUGUCUUUUUU